ACGAACGCUGGCGGCGUGGAUAAGACAUGCAAGUCGAACGAUCACUAUUGGGUAGCAAUAUUCGAUAGUGGGAGUGGCGCAAGGGUGCGUAACACGUGGGUAAUUUGCCAUGAAGUCUGGAAUAACUUGCUGAAAGGCGAGCUAAUACCGGAUGUGAUUACUGGAAGGCAUCUUCUGGUACUUAAAGUCGGGGACCGCAAGGCCUGACACUUCUUGAUAAGCCCGCGGCCUAUCAGCUAGUUGGUGAGGUAACGGCUCACCAAGGCUAAGACGGGUAGCUGGUCUGAGAGGACGACCAGCCUCACUGGAACUGAGACACGGUCCAGACACCUACGGGUGGCAGCAGUCGAGAAUUUUUCUCAAUGGGGGAAACCCUGAAGGAGCGACGCCGCGUGGGGGAUGAAUGGCUUCGGCCCGUAAACCCCUGUCAUUUGCGAUCAAACCUUACGACCUAACACGUCGUAAGCUGAUAGUAGCGGAAGAGGAAGGGACGGCUAACUCUGUGCCAGCAGCCGCGGUAAUACAGAGGUCCCAAGCGUUGUUCGGAUUCACUGGGCGUAAAGGGUGCGUAGGCGGUCGGGUAAGUCUGACGUGAAAUCUUCAAGCUCAACUUGGAAACUGCGUCGGAUACUAUUCGGCUAGAGGAAUGGAGGGGAGACUGGAAUACUUGGUGUAGCAGUGAAAUGCGUAGAUAUCAAGUGGAACACCAGUGGCGAAAGCGAGUCUCUGGACAUUUCCUGACGCUGAGGCACGAAGAGCCAGGGGAGCAAACGGGAUUAGAUACCCCGGUAGUCCUGGCCCUAAACGGUGCACGUUUGCUGUAAGAGGAAUCGACCCUUUUGUGCGAAGCUAACGCGUUAAACGUGCCGCCUGGAAGUACGCCGCAAGUUAGAACUCAAAGAAAUUGACGGGGCCUGCACAAGCGGUGGAGUAUGUGGCU
This 940-nucleotide ribosomal RNA is filed under the name uncultured bacterium. Its description in RNAcentral is "bacterial SSU rRNA". It matches the Rfam family "Bacterial small subunit ribosomal RNA", at positions 29 to 946 of the family's 1533-position model. The record is from RNAcentral.